This 440-nucleotide ribosomal RNA is filed under the name uncultured bacterium. RNAcentral describes it as "partial 16S ribosomal RNA". It matches the Rfam family "Bacterial small subunit ribosomal RNA", at positions 338 to 795 of the family's 1533-position model. The record is from RNAcentral.
CCUACGUGAGGCAGCAGUGGGGAAUAUUGCACAAUGGGGGAAACCCUGAUGCAGCGACGCCGCGUGAGUGAAGAAGUAUUUCGGUAUGUAAAGCUCUAUCAGCAGGGAAGAAAAUGACGGUACCUGAUUAAGAAGCCCCGGCUAACUACGUGCCAGCAGCCGCGGUAAUACGUAGGGGGCAAGCGUUCUCCGGAUUUACUGGGUGUAAAGGGAGCGUAGACGGCAGCACAAGUCUGGAGUGAAAUGCCGUGGCUUAACCCGGGAAGUGCUUGGGAAACUGUGCAGCUAGAGUGCAGUAGAGGUGAGUGGAAGUCCGAGUGUAGCGGUGAAAUGCGUAGAUAUUAGGAGGAACACCAGUGGCGAAGGCGGCUUACUGGACUGUAACUGACGUUGAGGCUCGAAAGCGUGGGGAGCAAACAGGAUUAGAUACCCUAGUAGUC